Micropterus dolomieu (smallmouth bass) is the source of this 1051-nucleotide long non-coding RNA. RefSeq lists it as uncharacterized. NCBI's taxonomy places the organism in Eukaryota, Metazoa, Chordata, Actinopteri, Centrarchiformes, Centrarchidae. The transcript is spliced from 4 exons. The record is from RefSeq and is a predicted model, not a curated record.
UGACUGCAGAAAACCAGAUCCUGACAACACGAAACCAGGAGCUGGAGUCACAGAGGAACAACUUAACAGAACAAAUACAAAACAAAUGGAAUGAGCUCAACGUCAGUCGAGCUCAGUGGAGCAUUGAUGCCUACUGCCCAAAAGAAAACCAAAACAGAACGUGUAAAGCUUGUCAGGAUGGCUGGAUACUCUCAGAAUCCAGCUGCUAUGCGAUUAAUAGCCCUGAUGUUCCUGGUCAGAAAACCUGGGAAGAAGCUCGAGAAAACUGCAGAGGAAAGAUUUCAGAUCUGGUUGUUAAACUUGAUCAAAAGGAGAAGGAAUAUGUCGACUUUAACUGGGGCGAAUUAGGCUACUGGAUUGGCCUGAGAGCUGAAGCUGGAAAUUGGACGUGGAUCAAUGGAACUUUUCUAAAGACUCAAGACUACUUGACAGAACCACCUUCUGGUGAAGCUCAUUGUGUGAUUUCUGUCGGAGGGACACCUUCCAAGAAAUGGAAAGCUGUGAAGUGUGAUGAGAAACAUCGAUGGAUCUGUGAGAAGAAAGCUUUAUCUGUUUAAGAUCUGUAAUCAGAACUGAAGAGAUUACUGGAUAGUCUGCACAGAUGAAUGACGCGUACAAUAACAUCAGCUGGCUUGUAAAAAAGAAAAUUCGUAAAAUUCUACUUCAGAAUUUGUUGAAUUUAAUUUCAAAAUGUACGUACAAGGGAUUUUAUUUUUCCAAGAUGCUUGUGUAUGGUGUGUCUGCAUGUGUGUGUAUCACAAAAAGACACACUAACAGAUUUAAAUGUGUAUAUAUGUGUGAUACAGUUUUGGAUUAUUGAUACUGUGAGUCUGACUAUAGACCAGUUUGUAGUAAAAUACAGUGAUGACUAUACCGGGGGAGCUGAAGAGCAAAUAACAUCAAAUGUGGACUUCUUCUUCUUUGAUAGAGCCACAAUAAUGAAAUGUUGAAUAUCAGGAUAUGAUGAGAUCUAAGAGAGGAAGCUUUAAACUGUUCAGAAUCUCCAUAAAACCUGUCUUUUGUAAUUGUAACAUUUAAAUUGUUAAUACUG